CUCAUGGGUGGUACUAAUGUUUUUCUUGUUGCAUUAUUGGUGGUGCUCUAAACAGUGUCUAAUAGUAACAGUAAUAACAGGCAUCCCUCUCUCCUUUCUGACUUUGAAACAAUGUUGUUGUUUGGGCUUCUGGUAGAUACUUUUACCAAGUACAUUAGUCUGACAAGGGGGUGCUGAUGCAAAGUUCCAGAAAUAUGUUGGCUUUUAUAAAGGGUAUUUAUUUGGAGUAGAAACUUAAAGUUACAAGGCCCUAAAGAAUCCAACUCAAGGUUCCUUUCUCACCAGUCAGUUGCCACGUGUUGAAGCAAGAUAGUUGCUGGUCACUGCGAGGGUUCAGCCUUCCUCUCUCUCAGCUACAGGUUGGCACAGGGCUCUUCUCUCUUCCUGGGGCUUUAGCUGUUUAAGCUUUCUCCUUUCUGUCACAUGGCAAGACCAAAAUAAUCAAAUUCUUUCCUCUUCCUUGUCUUCUUUUGUGUGUCUUCUUGACUGAGUAUCCAUUUAUAUAGCCCACCAAGGGGGUGGGGACUCAACCCUGAAUUAAACUCUAAUAAUAAUAAUAAUAAUCUUAAACUGCCAUACCACGUUAAGAAUGUUUCCCUCUUUUGCUACCUCUAAGAGUUUUUAUUAGGAAUUACAUGUUGCUUGUUAUCUAAAACAGUAAAAUAUAUUAAGUGCCACCUGCACUCAAGAUUCUAAACUAGGUAUUGUGGAAGAGCCAAAGAACUAUGAAAGAAGCUAGUACACCUGUCCUGGAAAAAAAAUUGUCAUCUGGCUGGGAAGAUAAGACUUAAGAUAAAUAAAAGGAAUGAAUAAAGCUUUGGAAAGAAUGGUUAUUGUGAUAGAUAAUCAUGGUUAUGUUUUUCUUCCAAAACAGAUUUAUUCUCAUAGAGCAGCAUCAGAGGAAGAUGAAGAAAAAGGCCCACGGAAAUGCACAACUGAAAGUGAGAAUCAGGAGGGAUUUUUCUGGAGAAGACGGCCACUUUGACUGAGGGAUAUGUAUAAGCCUCUCAACGCCACACGCAAGAAAAACAUGGCACACAAGCUACAUGACAAAGACUCUUCAGAUUAGGAUGAGAUUUUCAACAAGGAUGCAGGGUAAAUGACGGGGGACAAUUUAAACGUCUUAUCUAAAUGAGUUAAAGUCUUACUUUCAAGAGUAAAAGCCAUUGGCAUCAAUCUUCUCCCAGGGAGCGCAGUGCCCCACCAGAGAAAAUGGAGUCUCUAGAAGCUGCUGAAGAGGAAACUGAAGAAGCCACAGUGUGACCCCCGCCCCACCUCAGGCCACCUGCAGAUUUUAUUUUCUAAUAUUGACUUCUCAGCAUUACUUGUAAAAAUGCCUAUUUUCCUCAUAUUAAAAUGUUUAAAACCCAUAGCCGAUUCUAGCUAUGUGGUAAGGAAUCAAAAUGUAA
This 1409-nucleotide long non-coding RNA is filed under the name Dasypus novemcinctus (nine-banded armadillo). Its description in RNAcentral is "lncRNA (ENSDNOG00000049976.1)". Lineage: Eukaryota; Metazoa; Chordata; Mammalia; Cingulata; Dasypodidae. The record is from RNAcentral.